CACACACACACACAUUCAUACGGACUCUAUGCACACACUAACAUACAAUCAUCAUAUACGCUGCUGCUGCUACUCUGUUUAUUAUAUAUCCUGAUGCCUUGUCACAUUAUGCCCAUACAUAGCUAAUCCUACCACUCCAGUAUCCCUGAACAUUGUAAAUAUGGUAUUGGCAUUGACCCUGGAACUGACCGUUUAUAUAGUUUACAUACUUUCUUGUGUACUUCUUAUUUCUCGUGUGUUUUGUUCUGCUUGACUUUUUUGUAGUUCAUUUUAAUUUUUGUAUAGUACUACUGAUAUUGAAUACUGCAUUGUGGGGAAAAGAUCAAAUGAACUCGCCCACUGGAACGUCUUCCCCAGACAAGGCGCGUGGUUUGUGCUUGCCCUUGCUCGGGAAAUAGCUACCAUAGUGAAAAUGGGCUUUCAUAAAGUUGUUCAACAAUCUUGGGCAAAUUGCCAAGAUUUAUAUUACCUCCGACUAGUUUAUAUUUAGGCUGUCAACCGUCAAAAACCUGAGACUGGUGUGUUGUUGGAGGUGCCCCCCAUCCAUGGUGCCACAAUGGACAACUCCUGGGCAAGGGAGCUGGGUCGGAUCCGUAUGUCAGGCUCCUUCAUGACCGGUAUCUGUGACGAGGGGCCUGGAGCUGAUCUACUGACACUGGCAAACACCUCAAAAGAUGGAGGAUGAUAAGCUUUGGUCAUGGAGUCCUCUGACUGAAAGACAGGUUUAUACUGAUGUCUGAAUUGGGAAAUACCUUGUACUCCGCAUUAAAAUUA
Molecule: long non-coding RNA, 774 nt
Organism: Oncorhynchus keta (chum salmon)
Lineage: Eukaryota; Metazoa; Chordata; Actinopteri; Salmoniformes; Salmonidae
Exons: 4
Source: RefSeq, a predicted model, not a curated record